GGGGAAUCUUGCGCAAUGGGCGAAAGCCUGACGCAGCGACGCCGCGUGGGUGACGAAGGCCUUCGGGUUGUAAAGCCCUGUGGGGAGGAACGAACCGUCCGGGGGCCAAUACCCUCCGGGCCUGACGGUACCUCUUUAGCAAGCAUCGGCUAACUCUGUGCCAGCAGCCGCGGUAAGACAGAGGAUGCGAACGUUGCUCGGAAUUGCUGGGCGUAAAGCGCGCGUAGGUGGCCUUGUAAGUCUCGUGUGAAAGCCCUCUGCUCAACGGAGGAAGUGCACGGGAUACUGCGAGGCUGGAGUACAGAAGAGGACAGCGGAAUUCCCGGUGUAGAGGUGAAAUUCGUAGAUAUCGGGAGGAACACCAGUGGCGAAGGCGGCUGUCUGGGCUGAUACUGACACUGAGGCGCGAAAGCGUGGGAAGCAAAC
Molecule: ribosomal RNA, 426 nt
Filed under: uncultured bacterium
Lineage: Bacteria
Description: bacterial SSU rRNA
Rfam family: Bacterial small subunit ribosomal RNA
Source: RNAcentral